RNAcentral lists this ribosomal RNA (497 nucleotides) under uncultured Acidobacteriota bacterium. Its description in RNAcentral is "bacterial SSU rRNA". It matches the Rfam family "Bacterial small subunit ribosomal RNA", at positions 9 to 481 of the family's 1533-position model. The record is from RNAcentral. Lineage: Bacteria; Pseudomonadati; Acidobacteriota.
GAGUUUGAUCCUGGCUCAAACGAACGCUGGCGGCGUGCCUAACACAUGCAAGUCGGACGAUAACGCGGGCUUCGGCCCGUCAGUACAGUGGCAGACGGGUGAUUAACACGUGGGUAACCUGCCCGGAGGUGGGGGAUAACCCUCCGAAAGGAGGGCUAAUACCGCAUCACAUCCACGAGGUCGCGACCUCUUGGAUCAAAGCUGGCCUCUACUCGUAAGCUAGCGCCACCGGAGGGGCCCGCGGCCCAUUAGCUUGUUGGUGAGGUAACGGCUCACCAAGGCCACUAUGGGUAGCCGGCCUGAGAGGGCGACCGGCCACACUGGAACUGAGACACGGUCCAGACUCCUACGGGAGGCAUCAGUGAGGAAUUUUGCGCAAUGGGGGAAACCCUGACGCAGCGACGCCGCGUGGAGGACGAAGGCCUUCUGGUCGUAAACUCCUGUCAAGUGGGACAAAAGCCGCCGGGAUGAAUAAGCUCGGUGGUUGACCGUACCAC